AGAGGGUCAGAGAGGGAAGGGGUCAGAGGGUCAGAGAGAGAGGGAGUCAGAGGGUCAGAGAGAGAUGGAGUCAGUGGGUCAGAGAGAGAGAGAAGGAGUCAUAGGGUCAGAAAGAGAAGGAGUCAGAGGGUCAGAGAGAGAAGGAGUCAGAGGGUCAGAGAUUGAGAUAGUGAGAGAGAGGGUCAGAGAGAGAGAUAGUGAGAGAGAGGGUCAGAGAGGGAAGGGGUCUGAGGGUCGAGAGAGAGAGUGAGUCAGAGUGUCAGAGAGAGAGGGAGUCAUAGGGUCAGAGAGAGAGAGAGUCAGAGGGUCAGAGAGAGACGGAGUCAGUGGGUCAGAGAGAGAGAGAAUGAGUCAGAGGGUCAGAGAGAGAGAAGGAGACAGAGGGUCAGAGAGAGAAGGAGACAGAGGGUCAGAGAGAGAAGGAGUUAGUGGGUCAGAGAGAGAAAGAGUCAGAGGGUCAGUGAGAGAAAGAGUCAGAGGGUCAGUGAGAGAGAUAGUGAGAGAGAGGGUCAGAGGAGAAAGGAGUCAGAGGGUCAGAGAGAGGAGGAGUCAGUGGGUCAGAGAGAGAGAUAGUGAGAGAGAGGG
Molecule: long non-coding RNA, 585 nt
Organism: Oncorhynchus keta (chum salmon)
Lineage: Eukaryota; Metazoa; Chordata; Actinopteri; Salmoniformes; Salmonidae
Exons: 3
Source: RefSeq, a predicted model, not a curated record